Molecule: small RNA, 175 nt
Filed under: Chrysemys picta bellii (western painted turtle)
Lineage: Eukaryota; Metazoa; Chordata; Testudines; Emydidae
Description: TUC338 (ENSCPBG00000021803.1)
Source: RNAcentral
UUCAGCUUAUGGCUGAAUAUUGUUUCUAUUUAUAUGCAGAACAGGUAACGCUUAGACAGUUGCAGAACAAGCGUUACCACAACUCUGCUAAUGUGCCUGUACCCUGACCUGGAGGGAUCUUGCCCUGGGAUGAAAGGAUAGUUUCUUCUCCAUGCCCAUUCAGUCCUUGGGUUCU